GGAAGGGUGGCAGAGUGGUCGAUUGCACCGGUCUUGAAAACCGGCAACGCCGAAAGGCGUUCCAGGGUUCGAAUCCCUGCCCUUCCG
RNAcentral lists this transfer RNA (87 nucleotides) under Gemmata obscuriglobus. It matches the Rfam family "tRNA". Rfam says of the family: Transfer RNA (tRNA) molecules are approximately 80 nucleotides in length. Their secondary structure includes four short double-helical elements and three loops (D, anti-codon, and T loops). Lineage: Bacteria; Pseudomonadati; Planctomycetota; Planctomycetia; Gemmatales; Gemmataceae. RNAcentral also lists the same sequence under 2 other names. The record is from Rfam by way of RNAcentral.